AUAUUUUGUAAAGAAGUAGCCACAAAGAUGUAUACAUCAGAAUAUAGUUGUCAACUUUUCAAGAUUGUAGGUGCUCCCAUCCUUGUAUGCAGCAAGCCAGAAGUUAUAUUUUUGUAUGUUAGAUUACAAUUGGUUGUACAAUCCAAAUAAUCUGUACAGUGUAAUUAUUUCAGUUUUUGCUAUAUCAGUAUCAUUAUGUACUUGCAAAGUAAUUAGUUAAUGAUCAACAGCCUAUAAUCUCGGAGGUUCCUGCAUAAAAAUUCAGCACCAUUCAGACAUUAAAACAAACAUCUUCGUGUAUCAAUCAAGAAUACUUCUUCAGGCAUUAAAACAAAGUAACAAACAUCUUCAUGUAUCAAUCAAGAAGACUUCUUUUCCUCUGAAAGCUGCUUCUAAUUGACCAAAAUUUGACACCCAACAAUUCAAAUUAUAAACACGAAUCCCCCAUAUAAGGAAAUUCAAUAAUAACAAUCAUUCUAAUUUCUCAAGAAGCAGUUAAUUGGUCAAACCCAUAAAGUAAAAUAGAUAGUAAACUUGCUAAAACACAAAAGGACACUAUUUAUGACCAAUCAGAUUGAAAAAAAGAGCUACUAUCGCAUCUUUCUUCUUGUGAUUUUGUUCUUUCUUCAAAAUUUAAAAACUGAAAAGUAGAAUGAGCUAACUUAUUUGGGGCACUGAAGAAAAAUUGUUAUAUAACUUGGCUGAAGGAAACUCACCUUUCCAAAGAAAAUUGGAAAAGCUUCGUAGCAAAAGAAUGAAGUGAGAUUGAGAUUGAGACAGACCAAGAUCUGAAUACAGGGGCUUGUCAUUUGUUUGAGCUUUUUCCAGACUUGUUCCGUACGACAGUUAAAAAUAUAACUGAUUCGGAUACUAUGCGGGAUAUUCGCUCUCAUUUCACGUCGGAGUGUGGGACUGUUU
This 918-nucleotide long non-coding RNA is filed under the name Panax ginseng (ginseng). RNAcentral describes it as "long non-coding RNA (PGIN_LNC017788)". Lineage: Eukaryota; Viridiplantae; Streptophyta; Magnoliopsida; Apiales; Araliaceae. The record is from RNAcentral.